This 526-nucleotide ribosomal RNA is filed under the name uncultured bacterium. RNAcentral's name for it is "bacterial SSU rRNA". It matches the Rfam family "Bacterial small subunit ribosomal RNA", at positions 28 to 526 of the family's 1533-position model. The record is from RNAcentral.
GACGAACGCUGGCGGCGUGCCUAAUACAUGCAAGUCGAACGCAUUUUCUUUCACCGUAGCUUGCUACACCGAAAGAAAAUGAGUGGCGAACGGGUGAGUAACACGUGGGUAACCUGCCCAUCAGCGGGGGAUAACACUUGGAAACAGGUGCUAAUACCGCAUAAUUCCAUUUACCGCAUGGUAGAUGGAUGAAAGGCGCUUUUGCGUCACUGAUGGAUGGACCCGCGGUGCAUUAGCUAGUUGGUGGGGUAACGGCCUACCAAGGCUGCGAUGCAUAGCCGACCUGAGAGGGUGAUCGGCCACACUGGGACUGAGACACGGCCCAGACUCCUACGGGAGGCAGCAGUAGGGAAUCUUCGGCAAUGGACGCAAGUCUGACCGAGCAACGCCGCGUGAGUGAAGAAGGUUUUCGGAUCGUAAAACUCUGUUGUUAGAGAAGAACAAGGAUGAGAGUGGAAAGUUCAUCCCUUGACGGUAUCUAACCAGAAAGCCACGGCUAACUACGUGCCAGCCGCCGCCGUAACAC